GUCAUGGUCUGCAGAGGCUGGCACCGUCGCCCAUUUUGCUUUCGAGAUAAGUUUCUCUCUAACUCCAUUUUUUCUUUCUCUGAUCGAUUUUGCUGUAGGAGUUGCUGCUUCUCCUCUUGGCUUUUCACACAAGAACUUUUGAAGCUCUCAAUGAUUUCCAAAAUAUGCAAUAUUGGUAUUUCCUUUUGCUUGGUUCCUUUGUCAUGCCCAUCAAAUGAAUCAAUUUGAAGAGCCACACACACUUGAUGAAUAGCCAUUUUAAGCUUUCUAAUUUCAUUUAACAAAACCUCUUCUUCUAUCAGUUGCAUAAAGUUUUUGGUCUCCAACUCGGAGAUAACUUUGUUACAAAAUUUUGAUGCCUCAACAUGCUUUUCACAGUAGAGUUGAUUUCUUCACUCUGAUUUGAGCCAUUACUAAGUACAGACCAUUUAAGCUAUGAUUUGCUAAAGCAAGAGCUUGGUUGCACCUUUAGAAAUAGAUCAAAUUGCUGGUAUAACAAUUGGUUGAUCUGCUUUAUAUUUCCUCAAUCUCAUUUAUGUGUUAAAAUUCUGCUUGUAGCAUUUAGACCAUUGCUAGCCAUCUAUAUUGUUAUUCUGCUUAUUUGAGCAAUUUUUGAGUGGUAUCUUUGAGUCAAAUACUUGGUUUGUAACCUGUUUCAAUUUUUGAAUCAAAAUUUGGAUGGUUGAAUUUAAUAUUUGAAGUAAAAUUGGGUUUGACACAUUGCCUUUGUGAAUAAUUUGAAGUUUGCAUGAGUUAUCUUAUCAAAUCAGUUCAUAAUCAUAUAUUAAACUUGCUAGUGUAAUUUGUAAUUUGAAUUCUGAAUCGGUCUUUGCUUGUAACCUUACUUUUGUCUCUCUCUAAUUCAACGAUACUACUACUCUUUGACUGCUAGCCAAUACCUCUAGAUAGCAAUUUUGAAUUAUAUAGAUAAACACACACAUGAUCAAAUACCUAUAGAGUAUGCAAAGUGGCAAUUACCUAUACAUAACAAAACCCAAAAGUAUGCAAAGUGCCAAUUAUAGAGGCUAUACUUUGGACCUAGAGACAAUAAUAUGGCCUAAAUUUAGUAGGGCUAAGUUGAGCUCUAAACCCAAAAUGUUAAUAUGAAAUCAUAGCCUAACCUAGAUCUACACCCUAAUUAUCUAUUCCAUAUAAUUUCUCAUUGAACACUCCAAUUUAUAAUUUACUCUUUUAUACAUGUGUUUAUUAAAUUCUUAUAUUUCAAGAAUGAUUGUGAUCAUAACAUCCUUACCAAAUACAGAAACAAAGAAGAAUUGUGCAAUUCAAGGUGAAGGAUUCUUUAAUAACAGUUCGAGAAUCUAUUAUUUUUUUUUAUAAGAGCUUCAUUAUAUAGGACAAAUAACAAAGAAUUAGCAGAUGAAAUAUGCAAUUAGAAGAUGCCAGAGAAAAUGCACUUUUCUAUUUAAAUCAAUGUCGCAAUCAUGCAAUAUCAUAAUAAACCAUGUUUAAUUUUCCUAGUUUGGUAGUAUUAUUAGAACUUGAAAACAGUUGAGACAGGUUCAUGUUGGGCCUAGGUGCCAUGAUACCAAUGUCAUUUCAGUUAGGAUAAAAACCCAAAGAAGACUCCAAGUCAAUUUAGCAUUACAUUAUGUGACUGUCCAAAAUAUGACUGGCAGUCCUAUUCCACUAGCAAAUUAGCAUAUGACCAAAAAUAGUUUUGACAAUUAAGUGACAUCAUACAUUCACAGUAUAAAAUUAAUUUAAUUAAAUUUACUCAUGCUACAAAAUUGACUUCAUAAAACUUAACAAUCUUUUGAAUAGGAAGAAUACAGAUUCUAAAUGAGAGACCAAAGGAAAAAACUUAGCUAUGAAUUAAACCUUUCAAUGAAUAGGAAGAGUACAGAUUCUUGUUAUUUCUUGAUUGAGAAGUUGAUAACUCUCUAGUUUUUGGAAUUUGAAAGAAGGUUUGUAUGUUGCUAGCCGCUUAGGUUGUAAAGGUCCGAAAAAUUAUCUAAACCUUGAACUGCCAAGGCUGGAAUCUUCCUCACAAAUCUUUCAAUUAAGUGCUCUAAGAUUCUAGAGAGAAACAUGAGUGUUGUGAGAUUAGUGAGGCUAACUUAACCUAAUUCCUUGGAAUUUAAGAGAAAGAAUUCAAUUUUCACUUAACUGUUUUGUUGACUAUUCACUUGUGCAGGAAAGUGAGUUUGAUUAACCUGGAAUAUAACCAUUGGACCAAGAGAGAAAGUUGAUUCUGCCAUAAUCUUGAAACUAGAAACACCUUAGCAUUAUGUUAGUUAUUUAAAACCAUAGAUUUUAUUAUGCACAUUGAGACGACUUAUAGUAGUGAAUGUCAUGUGGAUACUAUUACUAGUGAAACUGUUUUUGUAAGAAAUGUAAUGGCAUGCUAGUAGGGUGAGCAUAGCAGCAAUCAGUGCCAUGGUUUAGAGUGGGAACAACAAUAUUGAGAUUUUUGGAAUGAUGGCAGUUUGGGUAUGACAAAUUUAAUGUCCAUAUAGAUGGAAGUUACGUGAGAAUGCUAAACUACCUGAAUGAGCUGAAUUAAAUAUUUUAAUAUCGUUUGAUCAUAGUAUAAACAUUUUUAAGUCUGAUUGUGUUGUUACCUUAUACAACUUGUUGCAGAAAUUUGUUAUCAAACGUGUAGCCCACCAGCCAUUGGUCUCCUGAUUGUGAUUGUGGAGCUGCUUCUUGACCAAAUUUGGUUUGUCAGUAGAUAAUUAAAUAACUAUUGUGAUUGUGAUUGUGUAUAUUUAUUGCGUACUAGACUGUUUGAACUAAUGUCGUUAGUAAAGAGACUUGUGAUUCACUUCUAUCCAGAUUUGACAAUCUUGAAAAUUUGGUUAGGACAUUGAUACCUCAGUAAGGACAGUCCGCCCCAUCAUCAUCCCAACAACCAUGCCCACCUCUAUAGCCAUGCCCACCUCAACAGCCUUCCCAGACCACACUUGUGCAGAAAGAUCAUGAUGAUUCUAAUGAUUAUGAUGAUUAUUAGACAUUUAGGAACUUUUGAAAACAUUUGAAGUGAGGUUUUUUAAUUAAAAACUUUGUUUUGUCAUUAGAAACUUUUCA
Molecule: long non-coding RNA, 3048 nt
Filed under: Vigna radiata
Lineage: Eukaryota; Viridiplantae; Streptophyta; Magnoliopsida; Fabales; Fabaceae
Description: long non-coding RNA (VRAD_LNC010268)
Source: RNAcentral